Molecule: long non-coding RNA, 2816 nt
Filed under: Lotus japonicus
Lineage: Eukaryota; Viridiplantae; Streptophyta; Magnoliopsida; Fabales; Fabaceae
Description: long non-coding RNA (LJAP_LNC002013)
Source: RNAcentral
GUGAUGGAUUCAAACAGCUUAUUAAUAUCAUCAUCUAGAUUAUCCUUGUAUCCUAGUUUCACCACUGGAAGCUUCUGGUUUUUCUCAGCCAAGCUAUAUCCAGAAUUGGACUGAUAAAUCCCUGCAGCUUUCCCUGUAUUCAGGUCUUCAUGUGCUUCAACAAUUUCACAAGUGCCAGAGAACGAACCCAUCACAGAUAAGUUGCUCCACAAACUUAAGUUUGGUGUGGUAGAUGUAACACAAACAAUAUGUCUCCCAGAGCAAAAGUCUACUCUAGUGCAUUUCAAAUGCAGCUUAUCAGACACAACAACUUCACAGCUCAAGGACAAUGAACCCUAAAUCCAGCUUUCAGAAUCCAAACCAUUCUUAAAUCAACUUUAAAGUCCAACUGGUACAUCCACUUCUUUAUCAGCUAUAGGACAUCAAACCCUGGUGCAAUGGCCAACAUUUGAAUGCAUCAGAAAACCAAGUGGAAAAUGAUAUUGUCAAUUAAGUAAGACAAAACAGGGAGGGACACAUUUGUUGCAUAACUACUUUUGGCUCUAUUGAAUUUAUAGAAGGAACAAAAGUUCUACGAACAAAGAUGGAUAAUACCCAAGUAAUCAUGAAGAACAAUUGGGCGAAACAAGCUACUGACUGUAUUUCAACUAAAAGAUUACAAAAGGAAACAGAAACUUCACGACUAACCAGUGAAAAAUUACCCUUAAAUUAUGCAGCGGCAUGGAUAUCAGAGAAUCAUGUUCAAUAUAAGUUCAGCAAUAAAGCAUAUAUUAUCCAGAACUAACAUGUAAAAAACCUAUUGAGGGCACUAAAUAAAACAGAUAUUCAUAAUAAAAUUAAAACAUGAGAAUGAGCACAACAAGAACAGCAAAGUCAGAAAGAACAAUUAUGCAAGUUAAACAAUUAUUUAUACCAGGAGAUACUCAAGAUAUUAUAUCAUUUGUUGCACUCCUCAAAUUAAGCUGGUUUGCAUAUACUUUCUGACCUAACAGAAAAUAAAAUGCUCAAGUUAUUAGUUUCCUACCUAGCUGCUGGCUCUGAAAAACACCGACCAAGCUGCUUCUGCCGUAGAACAUGAAGAUCUCCACCCGGACAAAAUUCCAUGACCAGACAUGACAGAUUAUCUGAUGUAAACUGCACAUACAGUGUGGGAAGAAAUGGAUGAUCCAGCAUCCUUAGUAUUUCUCUUUCAGUUUGAGCCCUAGGCAUCUUCUUCCUUCUUGCCAAAAAUUCAUUGUCCAUGACCUUUAUAGCAAACAAGCAACUUGUGCCAAUUAGUUCAGCAAGAUAUACAGUCCCAAUGUCUCCACAACCAAGUUUCUUCAAAAGAUUGAAGUGUCUCAAGCCCAAGACUCCAUACUGCAUUUGAGCAUGUCGAAUGGCUUCCCACCUAACAUCCUUCGACAUAUGAGGCCUGGUGCCGCAACUUGAGCCACUUACAUUGCUCUCAUCACUGGUACUUGUACUACUACUGUACCCACCUUGACUACUCUUUGAACUUUGCGAAAAUUCAAGUUGCUCUUUCAACUUGGUGUUCUUCUUCACUUUUGUGACUGCUUUGCUUUUAUUGCUGCUAGUUGAUGCCAAAUCAGCCUUAUUUGAACCAGAGUGCACACUAUUCAAGUUCACUCCAUUUACAGGACUGGUAGAGUCUAAUGCCAUGAUAUCUUGGCUUUUUCCUUCACUUUUAGUUUCUAGGCUAGUUUCUAAUGCACACCUACAUCUCUCACAAACCAGCUGAGCUGUACCAACUGACUUAUUAACUUCAUUGGAUGUAGGACCACACGAGGCAAAACCUGAAUCCUCCUUUACUUUUUUCUUACUCUGAUUCUUGUUCUUGGUGACCGUUUUAACUGUUCGGGGAGCAUGGCGUGGCAGUUUGUUAACUCUGCUUCCACUUACAGAAGUAGAUGAAGAAGAUACUGUUUGCAACCUACUUUUCGGUGCAGUAUUUGAAACAGAGGCCUUAUUUCCUAGCUUUUUAGGGGAAGGAGCAUUUUCAGGCAACUCUAAUUUGCUUCCAAAUGCAUUACAAAGAGAUGGAGAAGAUGCAGAUGUAAGUUUUUCUGCUUGAACAGGUACCACGCACUGUGAUUGAAUUAUAACUGUACUUGGGCUUGAUGAUGUGAUUUGGAAAGUUUGAUGAGAAUGAGAAGUUUGCUCCAUGGAGGGUGACUUGCUUUUUUCUGCUACAAGAGAAAUUUCCACUGUACACCCCUUACUCUCAACAUAAGAAGGCCCAGAUUGACCUGUUUCAGCAACAACUGAAUUGUACAAUGUCUGUAUCUUGCCAACCUCUGAUAUUCUAGGAGAAGCUGAGGACUUUGAUAAUCGUUUCAUAGCAGCCAUUUCUGAUGCCUUAGAUAUACAAUGGUCUCUCAAUGCCUGCUUCAAAGUCACCGGCUCAGAUGUCCCAACCCGCGGGGACCGAGGAACGCCCCCAGUAAUUGGCUUUUUUAAUGCACCUUUCAUCUUAGGGCUUGUUCCAUUUUGUAAAAAGCCUGAAUCCCUGGAUGAGGAUUUGAGAGUGAUGGAUUCAAACAGCUUAUUAAUAUCAUCAUCUAGAUUAUCCUUGUAUCCUAGUUUCACCACUGGAAGCUUCUGGUUUUUCUCAGCCAAGCUAUAUCCAGAAUUGGACUGAUAAAUCCCUGCAGCUUUCCCUGUAUUCAGGUCUUCAUGUGCUUCAACAAUUUCACAAGUGCCAGAGAACGAACCCAUCACAGAUAAGUUGCUCCACAAACUUAAGUUUGGUGUGGUAGAUGUAACACAAACAAUAUGUCUCCCAGAGCAAAAGUCUACUCUAGUGCAUUUCAAAU